UACAGAGGAGCCAAGCGUUGUCCGGAUUGACUGGGCGUAAAGCGCACGCAGGCGGGUGCGCGCGUGGGGUGUGAAACCAGGUGGCUUAACUGCCUGUCGCCAUCCCAUACGGCGCGCCUGGAGCCAUCCAGAGGUCGGUGGAAUUGCCGGUGUAGUGGUGAAAUGCGUAGAGAUCAUGAGGAAGACCAGUGGCGAAGGCGGGUCUCUGGACAGUUCCUGACACUGAGGCACGAAGGCCAGGGGAGCAAACGGG
Molecule: ribosomal RNA, 253 nt
Filed under: uncultured bacterium
Lineage: Bacteria
Description: partial 16S ribosomal RNA
Rfam family: Bacterial small subunit ribosomal RNA
Source: RNAcentral